This is a non-coding RNA of Flavobacterium frigoris, 78 nucleotides long. NCBI's taxonomy places the organism in Bacteria, Pseudomonadati, Bacteroidota, Flavobacteriia, Flavobacteriales, Flavobacteriaceae. The record is from Rfam.
AUUUAGCCCCGAUAGAAGUGCGUAUCCUUUUUGGGCUGGGGUUCAGCCCAAAAGAUACUGCGGAUAGCGGGACGAAUC